AGCUUUAUGCUAACUGUCCUUCUGACUGGUUUGACUGUCCUCUACAGGUCCUUCUGACUGGUUUGACUGUCCUCUACUGGUCCUUCUGACUGGUUUAACUGUCCUCUACUGGUCCUUCUGACUGGUUUGACUGUCCUCUACAGGUCCUUCUGACUGGUUUAACUGUCCUCUACUGGUCCUUCUGACUGGUUUAACUGUCCUCUACUGGUCCUUCUGACUGGUUUAACUGUCCUCUACAGGUCCUUCUGACUGGUUUGACUGUCCUCUACAGGUCCUUCUGACUGGUUUGACUGUCCUCUACUGGUCCUUCUGACUGGUUUAACUGUCCUCUACAGGUCCUUCUGACUGGUUUGACUGUCCUCUACAGGUCCUUCUGACUGGUUUGACUGUCCUCUACUGGUCCUUCUGACUGGUUUGACUGUCCUCUACAGGUCCUUCUGACUGGUUUGACUGUCCUCUACAGGUCCUUCUGACUGGUUUGACUGUCCUCUACUGGUCCUUCUGACUGGUUUGACUGUCCUCUACAGGUCCUUCUGACUGGUUUGACUGUCCUCUACAGGUCCUUCUGACUGGUUUGACUGUCCUCUACUGGUCCUUCUGACUGGUUUAACUGUCCUCUACUGGUCCUUCUGACUGGUUUAACUGUCCUCUACAGGUCCUUCUGACUGGUUUGACUGUCCUCUACUGGUCCUUCUGACUGGUUUGACUGUCCUCUACUGGUCCUUCUGACUGGUUUAACUGUCCUCUACAGAUCCUUCUGACUGGUUUGACUGUCCUCUACAGGUCCUUCUGACUGGUUUAACUGUCCUCUACAGGUCCUUCUGACUGGUUUGACUGUCCUCUACUGGUCCUUCUGACUGGUUUGACUGUCCUCUACAGGUCCUUCUGACUGGUUUGACUGUCCUCUACAGGUCCUUCUGACUGGUUUGACUGUCCUCUACAGGUCCUUCUGACUGGUUUAACUGUCCUCUACAGGUCCUUCUGACUGGUUUGACUGUCCUCUACAGGUCCUUCUGACUGGUUUGACUGUCCUCUACUGGUCCUUCUGACUGGUUUAACUGUCCUCUACUGGUCCUUCUGACUGGUUUGACUGUCCUCUACUGGUUUUAUAUUGUUUAUGUGGUUGUUGUGGCUUUGUCUACCUGACAGAUGCACAUUAGCUGCUAGCUAGCUAAGCAUUUCUUUUGACUGUGUGUUUUCCUCCCAGAAACAAACCAUUAAAACAACUAAACAAACAAACAGGUCAAAAUGGCAAAAACAAGACAGAAAAUGUCAAAAAUAAGGAAGAAAAUUACAAAAAUGAGAAAGUAAACAACGAAAAUGAGACAUAAAAUGACAAAAACAAGACAAAAGCUGACAUAAGCGAGACACAAAAUGACAGAAAUGAGACAAAAUACUAAAAUGAGACAGAAAAUGACAAAAACAAGACACAAAGCAACAAAACAAGAAGCAAAAUGACUGAUUUAGUCAUUGUUCUAUGACGUCUCUAAAUAUCUAGAUAAUAUCUAGGUAGUGUUUAGGUAAUAUCUAGAUAAUAUUUACUCAUUGCUCUGUGAUGUCUCUAAAUAAUAUCUAGACAAUAUUUAGAUAGUAUUUAGAUAAUAUCUAGGUAAUAUCUAGAUAAUAUUUAGGUAGUGUUUCGGUAAUAUCUGGAUAAUGUUUAGAUAAUAUUUAGGUAAUGUUUAGGUAAUGUUUAGAUAAUAUCUAGAUAAUAUUUAGGUAAUGUUUAGAUAAUAUUUAGGUAAUAUUUAGGUAAUGUUUAGGUAAUAUCUAAAUAAUAUUUAGGUAAUGUUUAGGUAAUAUUUAGAUAAUAUUUAGGUAAUGUUUAGAUAACAUUGUGUAACUCUG
Acanthochromis polyacanthus (spiny chromis) is the source of this 1848-nucleotide long non-coding RNA. RefSeq lists it as uncharacterized. The transcript has 3 exons. Lineage: Eukaryota; Metazoa; Chordata; Actinopteri; Pomacentridae. The record is from RefSeq and is a predicted model, not a curated record.